GACGAACGCUGGCGGCGUGCCUAACACAUGCAAGUCGAACGAAGCAUAGCAAUAUGCUUAGUGGCGGACGGGUGAGUAACGCGUGAACAAUCUGCCCUGUACAAAGGAAUAGCCUCGGGAAACCGGGAUUAAAACCGUAUGACACUUUAGUAUCGCAUGAUAAGAAAGUCAAAUCGAAUAGAGGUAUGGGAUGAGUUCGCGUCUGAUUAGCUGGUUGGCGGGGUAACGGCCCACCAAGGCGACGAUCAGUAGCCGGCCUGAGAGGGUGAACGGCCACACUGGAACUGAGACACGGUCCAGACUCCUACGGGAGGCAGCAGUGGGGAAUAUUGCACAAUGGAGGGAACUCUGAUGCAGCGACGCCGCGUGAGUGAAGAAGGUCUUCGGAUCGUAAAACUCUGUCCUUGGUGAAGAAAAGGACGGUAGCCAAGGAGGAAGCCCCGGGCUAACUACGUG
RNAcentral lists this ribosomal RNA (456 nucleotides) under uncultured bacterium. RNAcentral's name for it is "bacterial SSU rRNA". It matches the Rfam family "Bacterial small subunit ribosomal RNA", at positions 28 to 507 of the family's 1533-position model. The record is from RNAcentral.